GAUGAACGCUGGCGGCGUGCCUAAUACAUGCAAGUCGAGCGAACGGACGAGAAGCUUGCUUCUCUGAUGUUAGCGGCGGACGGGUGAGUAACACGUGGAUAACCUACCUAUAAGACUGGGAUAACUUCGGGAAACCGGAGCUAAUACCGGAUAAUAUUUUGAACCGCAUGGUUCAAAAGUGAAAGACGGUCUUGCUGUCUCUUAUAGAUGGAUCCGCGCUGCAUUAGCUAGUUGGUAAGGUAACGGCUUACCAAGGCAACGAUGCAUAGCCGACCUGAGAGGGUGAUCGGCCACACUGGAACUGAGACACGGUCCAGACUCCUACGGGAGGCAGCAGUAGGGAAUCUUCCGCAAUGGGCGAAAGCCUGACGGAGCAACGCCGCGUGAGUGAUGAAGGUCUUCGGAUCGUAAAACUCUGUUAUUAGGGAAGAACAUAUGUGUAAGUAACUGUGCACAUCUUGACGGUACCUAAUCAGAAAGCCACGGCUAACUACGU
This 496-nucleotide ribosomal RNA is filed under the name uncultured bacterium. RNAcentral describes it as "partial 16S ribosomal RNA". It matches the Rfam family "Bacterial small subunit ribosomal RNA", at positions 28 to 506 of the family's 1533-position model. The record is from RNAcentral.